Lagopus leucura (white-tailed ptarmigan) is the source of this 253-nucleotide long non-coding RNA. RefSeq lists it as uncharacterized. The record is from RefSeq and is a predicted model, not a curated record. The transcript is spliced from 3 exons. Lineage: Eukaryota; Metazoa; Chordata; Aves; Galliformes; Phasianidae.
GUGCUGGUCUGGAAAAGAAGACCUAAAUAGCUCCCUAUUGCUCAGCAGAAAAUCUCAGCUGGGAAGGGAGAAGCGCUGAAGAAAAGGAUCUCUUCAGAGCAAAUGGGAGAAAAGAAAACUAGUUCUCACCUUUUGAAUGCUGCCAGCUUCUCCAGGUCUUCCUCAUCACUGAACUUUGGGUCACAGAGAAAUGCUUUACUGAUCUCCUCCAGACUUCAUAUAGAUAUGAAGCCAUGUUUAAAGUCAUCAAGCA